Molecule: ribosomal RNA, 253 nt
Filed under: uncultured bacterium
Lineage: Bacteria
Description: partial 16S ribosomal RNA
Rfam family: Bacterial small subunit ribosomal RNA
Source: RNAcentral
UACGUAGGGGGCUAGCGUUGUCCGGAAUCAUUGGGCGUAAAGCGCGCGUAGGCGGUCAGGUAAGUCCGGUGUGAAAGUCAAAGGCUCAACCUUUGAAUGCCGCUGGAUACUGCCUGACUUGAGUCCGGAAGGGGCGAGUGGAAUUCCUGGUGUAGCGGUGAAAUGCGCAGAUAUCAGGAAGAACACCAAUGGCGAAGGCAGCUCUCUGGGACGGUACUGACGCUGAGACGCGAAAGCGUGGGGAGCGAACAGG